Molecule: long non-coding RNA, 352 nt
Organism: Helianthus annuus (common sunflower)
Lineage: Eukaryota; Viridiplantae; Streptophyta; Magnoliopsida; Asterales; Asteraceae
Exons: 3
Source: RefSeq, a predicted model, not a curated record
UGAUUUGUAUGCUUCAUUUCUCGGGUUUAAGGUUGAACUGAAGCGAAGAGAAGGAGACGGAGAAUACGGUAAAUGGUGCAUUUGACGUUUUAAAUGAAGUGAUGUAAAAAAGGGGUGUCGGUGGUAGUGGUUCUGCAUAACGGAAAGAACACCCAAUGGUUUCCACAGAUGGGUAGAGGCGACGUCGAUUGUUGAUUGUUGGCCGGUGAUGAUGUCGUGCGAUUCUGGAGAAGAUGAACAAUCGACACAAAUGAUAACAGAUCGAUGUCAAUGGCGAAAAUUUGGCGAAAGGAAACUCAUGUCGACGGACAUAUUAGUAUAUUACCAGUGCACCUGGUGUCGUUUGCCCCGU